ACGUACACUCCUGCGGGAGGCAGCAGUGGGGAAUUUUGGACAAUGGGCGAAAGCCUGAUCCAGCCAUGCCGCGUGCAGGAUGAAGGCCUUCGGGUUGUAAACUGCUUUUGUACGGAACGAAACGGCCUUUUCUAAUAAAGAGGGCUAAUGACGGUACCGUAAGAAUAAGCACCGGCUAACUACGUGCCAGCAGCCGCGGUAAUACGUAGGGUGCAAGCGUUAAUCGGAAUUACUGGGCGUAAAGCGUGCGCAGGCGGUUAUGUAAGACAGUUGUGAAAUCCCCGGGCUCAACCUGGGAACUGCAUCUGUGACUGCAUAGCUAGAGUACGGUAGAGGGGGAUGGAAUUCCGCGUGUAGCAGUGAAAUGCGUAGAUAUGCGGAGGAACACCGAUGGCGAAGGCAAUCCCCUGGACCUGUACUGACGCUCAUGCACGAAAGCGUGGGGAGCAAACAGGAGUAGAAACCCGAGUAGUCCC
Molecule: ribosomal RNA, 476 nt
Filed under: uncultured organism
Description: partial 16S ribosomal RNA
Rfam family: Bacterial small subunit ribosomal RNA
Source: RNAcentral